UCCAAUUUUUUUUCAUGGCCGGCAAAAGUUUUUUGGGAAAUUGGCAGAACUAACGCAUCAAAAAACUAUAUUUCAUUGAGUAACCAUUCUAACUAAGAGAAGCCAAAGAAGGAGAAAGUUCUUUCUAGGUUGUAGAAAGAUUCGCCAGCGAUUGACGGAGAGAGAUUCAGCGUGGACUGUGACUGGAUCGGAGGGAACGACGGCUAGACGGCUAAGAGAGACUGGGAAUCGAUUCAGCAAAUAAGGAUUUCGAUUUCUCUUUUUUUGAUUCUCUCUCUGAUCACAGAACAUAAAUUAAAUAUUUUAUUUUAUUUUUCGGGGUCAUCUUCUCCGGCGAGAGAGAAAGAGCAAUGGACUCUCCGUUAUCAAAAACCGAUGCGUCGAAGGAGAAAUUUGUGGGUUCACCACGGCCAUCAACAACGACUGCUGAUUCAAAUGCGAUGAGAGGUUGUGGACUCGCUAAUCUUACAUGGGUUGGUGUUGAUAAAGUGGAGCUUCGUCAGAAGCUUAUGAUACCUGAGUAUUUCCGUCUAGCUAUGCGUGACUGUAUCAAACUGAAGGAUUCAACCAGAUUUAUGUGUUCAGGCCUGUCCCUAUUAAUGGUUGUUUUCAUUAACCCCAAAUCUGGUGGUCAUCAUGGUCUUGUGCUUAAAGAGAAGCUUCAACUGUUGAUGAGCGACAUUUAGGUGUUUUACCUUACGGAAGUGAAGCCUCAUGAGUUUGUAAGAUACGGGUUGGCGUGUUUGGAGAUAGGGGCAGCGAAAGGAGAUGAAUGUGCUAAAUAAUGCAGAGCAAGGUUGAAGAUUAUGGUGAGUACACACAACAAUAUAUUUUUAAUCUCAUGGUCUUUACGUUUUUAGCAAUUAGAAAUGUUGACAAUGGAAUUGGUUCGUUAGAAAUGUUGACAAGGCCCUGUUUCAAAUAAGGUUGUAUGAUUUUCGAGUAAUGAGACUGAGGUCCAUCGGCGAGGCUUUCGAUUGUGGCUGCUUCAAGCAGGUUGUCGAUCCCACAUUUGGUUUACCAUUCUAUUCCAUUUUUUAAAUUUACGGUUUAACAUUCUAUUCCAUUUUCUGGUCUUGCA
Molecule: non-coding RNA, 1081 nt
Organism: Camelina sativa (false flax)
Lineage: Eukaryota; Viridiplantae; Streptophyta; Magnoliopsida; Brassicales; Brassicaceae
Source: RefSeq, a predicted model, not a curated record